AGCUUUAGGGCGGUUAUUCUAAACUGAUCUAUAGAAGAGCUCUGAGAGACAUAUAAAGGGAGCUGUUAUGAAUGAAUUCUUGCAUUCUUCUCUGCAAAUCUCUUCUCUACCUGUAAUUCUUCUAUGUUUUCUAUCCUUUCUAGUUCAAUUUUGUUUUAGUUUGCAUCAAUGGUAUCAGAGCUCCUGAUCCUCGGCCAUGGCAAACGAUGGAAUAAUAUCUCUAGGCUUUCUUUUCUCUCUCUCAGUUCUUCCUUCUUCUCUCGCUAAUUCUUUCUUUUCCAAAACUGUAACUCAUCAUUCUAUUGAUUCUUUCCUCUGUAUUUGCUUCCUCCUCCUCCAUUAUUGAACCUAGCCCUCUCCCCUGUUCUUAAAAUUUUUUGUUCUCUCUCUUCUUUUCUUGGUUACGAAACCAUCCAUUAUGAUUCAUCUACAUUUUUCUCAUUCUAUCUCUAAAUUUCACCCAUUGGAUCACACCAAAUUUCUACCAUGGAUUAUGUUCCUUUCCCAGUUACAAAGAACUUAUCAGAAUUGAAUGAUAGAAGGUGUAAGGGCUUGUGCUUGUGGUGUGAUGAGCAAUUUACCUCUAGCCAUAAUUGUGAUAAGGCACCAUUUACAUUGAUGAAAAUAAUGAAGAAUUGCAAGAAAUCCAAGAAAAUGUUUCUGCCAUUGAUGAUACUGUUCAACAAGACUGGUUGUCAACAGUUGUCAAUGGCAAUGUUCAACAAGAAUGCCCACCAAUCUUGCAGCCUCCUGAAUGUUCUAAAUGGGAUGAAGAAGACAAAGAUUCUGAGAAUUCAACCUUUUCUUUGCUUCAAAUAUCACUUUCGGAUGAUCAAAAUUUUUUAAAGAUGGAAGAUCAUGCAACUAUGCCCAUGCUUUUGGUUUAGGUUAAUAUCAUUAAUAAGAGAUGCAAGGGGCUUUACCAAUUGGAUAAGCGAAAAAGUGAGGUUUCAACUUUCUUGGAUAUCCAUGAUAUAGCUGGAUUAAUUAGAGGUGCCUAUGAGGGGAAAGAAUUGGUAAAUAGUUUCUCAUCUCACAAUUAUGCAGUUGAUAGCAGUUUUCAUUUGUUGAAGAAUGUUUUAGAUUCAUUUGUUGGUAUUGAAAUGGGUGCCAUGGAUUGUUAUGAACGAUAUUUUGAAAUAUACAUGCUUCAAGAUACUGGUGAGUACUAUUUUCCUAAGGCAUCAAAUUGGAUUUUGGAGAAUGUUUAUCUAGAUUAUAUGCUGAAGGGUUUUUUUUGGCAAGAUUUGAUGCAAGAUGAAAUCAAUAUUAAAUCAUUCCAUUAGGCAGUUGAACAAGAUCAAAUGCAAGAUGAAGGAGUUGUGCUAGAAAAAAAAUUUUUUUUUUCUCUCUUCAAAAUUCAACUUCCUUUAGCAGAGAUUUCUUAGGCAUUAGAAUUUGUUUUCAGUUUUCCUUAAGGAACAGGAAACUUAAGGGGGAGGUAUUGAUAGGUGUCUAAUGUUGAUUGGUGUUCAACUUCCUUUAGCAGAGAUUUCUUAGGGCAUUAGAAUUUGUUUUCAGUUUUCCUUAAGGACAAGGAAACUUAAGGGGGAGGUAUUUAAAGGUGUCUAAUGUUGAUUGGUGUUGGUUGUUACGCUUUAGGGCUGUUAUUCCAAACUGAUGUAUAAAAGAACUCUAGAGACUUGUAAUGGGAGCUGCUAUGAAUGAAUUCUUGCAUUCUUCUCUGCAAAUCUCUUCUCUUCCUGUAAUUCUUUUGUCUUUUCUUCCCUUUCUAGUUCAAUUCUGUUUUAGUUUGCAUCAGACUGCCAGACGUUUAGGUUGAUCAGCUGAAGCACACUAGUUACCUGCCUCUUUUUGCAAGGUCUCAAUUUUAUAUCUCCUCUGCCUGUUUAUUGCCUUGGAAUGAAAAUAUUUUAUGUUUUUGUCCUCAUUAUUAUUUUAAUCAGCAAUAGAAUUCUGAAACCAAAAUAACUCCUCUUGAAUCAAUACUGUUUCCAACUCAAGCUUAAGAGAAGUUUCAACAUCCAACAAGUACUGAGAAUUAGGAUGCUUCUCCAGAGCCCUUUCGGCUCCUGCAAUGCGUCUCAGUAAUCUGACUUUUUGUUUACGAAUGCUCCCAAAGAUCUCCCUAUUCUAGUCCUGAGCAGCAGAAGAAAAUGGAAAACUCGUAAUGCAGCUAUCUUUGAUGGAGUUCAGCCAGAUCCAUAGAAGACAAUUAAAAGGGUCCAUGAAGACUUUGAGGAGGGACAGCUCAAAACCCCUCCACAAAUUCCGUCUUCGUCGGAUUCAGAUCGAAAUGUGUUGACAAGGUUUCCCUCUGUUCAAGAAGACUAUUAUUUCGGUGGAUGCUUCCUUUGAGCAGAACAUGGGUAACGCUGGCUAUGGAAUCCUUGUUAGGAAUAGGAGUGAUUUUUUGGUUGAUGGUUGUGCAUCUGCUUUUGUUGCCUUGUCGCCAGCUACUACGGAAGGGAUGGCUUUGAGGGAAGCAAUUCUUUUAGCUUCCAGAAGAGGGUUCAUGCCAUGUGUGAUUAAUAGUGAUGCUCUUCAGCUGUUUCAGUUGUUGUUCUCCUCCUCCCUUUCUUGUCCUUGGGAUCUUGAGGCUAUCAUGCAGGAUUGUCGGAUGAUGUUAGCAGUCUAUCCUUUAAUCUCUAUUAAAAAUGUAUCUAGAAAUGCUAAUUUGAGUGCUCAUUGGAUGGCAAAUGCUGUUAGAUUGGGAAAGAUUAGUCCAGGAUGGAUGUCAAAUCCUCCAGAUCAGUUAGUUCUUU
Hevea brasiliensis (rubber tree) is the source of this 2726-nucleotide long non-coding RNA. RefSeq lists it as uncharacterized. The record is from RefSeq and is a predicted model, not a curated record. The transcript is spliced from 2 exons. NCBI's taxonomy places the organism in Eukaryota, Viridiplantae, Streptophyta, Magnoliopsida, Malpighiales, Euphorbiaceae.